UGGGCCUAUAGUGUAGCGGAUAGCACAAGGGCCUCCGGAGCCCUAGACCCGGGUUCAAAUCCCGGUAGGCCCGUCCA
This 77-nucleotide transfer RNA is filed under the name archaeon BMS3Bbin16. RNAcentral describes it as "tRNA-Arg". It matches the Rfam family "tRNA". From Rfam's summary of the family: Transfer RNA (tRNA) molecules are approximately 80 nucleotides in length. Their secondary structure includes four short double-helical elements and three loops (D, anti-codon, and T loops). Further hydrogen bonds mediate the characteristic L-shaped molecular structure. tRNAs have two regions of fundamental functional importance: the anti-codon, which is responsible for specific mRNA codon recognition, and the 3' end, to which the tRNAs corresponding amino acid is attached (by aminoacyl-tRNA synthetases). tRNAs cope with the degeneracy of the genetic code in two manners: having more than one tRNA (with a specific anti-codon) for a particular amino acid; and 'wobble' base-pairing, i.e. permitting non-standard base-pairing at the 3rd anti-codon position. The record is from RNAcentral. RNAcentral also lists the same sequence under 1 other name.